AACGUCCGAUGAAAAGGGAAUCAGGUGCAAGUCCUGAACAGUCCCGCUGCUGUAAGUUCCGCAUACGUGUCGCAGACCAUUCUUUUGCCACUGGGCGUUGUCCUGGGAAGGCGGCUGCCGACGGGAACAAGUCAGAAGACCUGCCGUUUGCCUUUG
This 156-nucleotide non-coding RNA is filed under the name uncultured Phocaeicola sp. The record is from RNAcentral. Lineage: Bacteria; Pseudomonadati; Bacteroidota; Bacteroidia; Bacteroidales; Bacteroidaceae.